Hemicordylus capensis (graceful crag lizard) is the source of this 6989-nucleotide long non-coding RNA. RefSeq lists it as uncharacterized. NCBI's taxonomy places the organism in Eukaryota, Metazoa, Chordata, Lepidosauria, Squamata, Cordylidae. The transcript has 6 exons. The record is from RefSeq and is a predicted model, not a curated record.
UCUCCAAAGCUAGAGCUGUCUGAUUAACAGGGCAAGACCAAUACUUGUGCCAUGAAAGGGGAGCGGUUCAAUUUGCACCAACUGAGAUAAUAAGGGCAAAAGUUUAUGCUGCAAAUGUGUCAGUCUACAAGGUGCCACCGAACUGCUGACUUUCUUGCAACAGCCUAACAUGACAUCCCCUCUGGAAUUUGUAAGGGUCGUGCAAAGGGGAAGGAGGAAGACAGGGUAGCUAGAAGAGGCUCCCUUCGGGAUCAGACAAAAGCGCCACAUCAAGCCCAGCAUUCUGUUUCCACCAGUGGCCAGUCAGAUACUUCCAGGAAAACCAUGAACAGGGCACGAAGGAACAUCAUAACCCCGGCUGGCCCCCGCGACAGUGGCUGACUACCUCUCAACCUGAAAAUGCCAGUCAAAACAGAACUAAGACGGAGAGCCGCCGUAACUGCAGCGGAGAACGUACUACGAAGCGUCAUGUGACCAAAGAAGGGCGGAAAAAGAUUAUCAGCGUGGAUUGAAGGUGCAGCGGCCAUCUUCGCUACGGUCUGCGUUCUUGCUCUCUUGCAUGGGAGGGAAAAGAGAAGGGGUUCCGUCCCGCCACCCCAUGACACUAGAGCUGCUGCUGCUGAGCCUGUGUGCGGCGGCAGCCUGCUGUAGCUAAGGGCUUCUGGAGCGAAUAAAAAUGACCCUUUGACGAAGCUCCUGUCGUAGUCGAAGAUGCCAUGAAGGGACGUGGAACGCAGCCAAGCAUGUCGCCGCAUGCUCACCGCUGUGACCAUUGUGCGUGACUCCGUCUCAGCCAGGUGUUUAAAGGUGUUUAACUGCUGCCAUGUCACCCUCGUAGUUUUCUCAAAGAUCUCACUGAAUUUCCAUUGGAACUCCUCAGGCAUCAUGGAUGUAGAAUCCUGUAAGAGGGAAUCCCAUAACAGGUGUCGUGUGGCAGCAACCACCCCGUGAAGUCGUAGCACAGUCCACGACCAAUGAAUUGGGAACCGGAUGACGCAAGAGGGGCAUCUGAUGAAGACGAACUGGGCCGCGGAGUUGGCGGGCGAAGCACGUCAUCAUAUAACGCCGCCUGAAGACGGAGCGCUUGAUUCUGCCACAUCUGCUUUGAAAAAGAGCAGCAAAUCUUACAAGCAGAAGUAUUAUGCUCCUCCCCAAGGCACAUUAAGCAAGUGUCAUGGAGCUCUGUGGAAGGGAGCUUAGCCCGGCACUUAACACAGCACUUGAAUGUCUUUUUCGCCUCCAUAGCACCGAUCAGUUUUAUUCUUUAAGUCCAGUCAGCAAGCAAAGCCAGUCCGUUUUCCAAUCCACAGUCGAGUCACAGAACAACAAGAAAGUCCCGAACAAUGACAAAACGUUAUCCAAAUCCAAUCCGUAAACGAAAUCCAAGGUCAAAACCAGUGAAUCAACUUUAUACCAAGGAGCUAUCACAACGAGGUUUGAACGCUUAGGCGGUCAGAGAGAAACUGAGGGAGAGAUGCCCCAACUGCCGCUUUUAACGAUCUCAGCACAGCACGUGCAGGCGGGGCGGGGCGUCAUGAGGAGUUAUUCAAUGAGCCCGCGAGGUCUCUGCGCAAGCGCAGAACCCAUUUCCUUAUGAUUACAACGGAUCACGAUCCAGAUUCUGUAUUUAUGAGACUGAGUGGAAUAACAGUUCUGCUUAUAGAAUCAAUAGGAUUCUAUUAAUCAGAAAAUAUUAAUUUUUUAUGCUACAAAAAUUGUUGCACACUACAUGUUAAUGCAAAUACAGACACAGCCAAACUAGUAGCCCAGUCAUGUGAGGUGCUGUACUGCAGUAGUGAUUCACAGGAAACCACAUAACAUUCUUCACACUAGCUUACAGGAACAGUGUGCAAGCACUGCCCUGACACAGAAAGUGUCAUUAGUUCUGCUGUGAUGGCACCACUACCUUGCCCCCACAUGGCAUUGAUCCCAGGAGUUUUCUGCAGCACAGAACAAGGAAGGAGGCACGGUCCUUGGAGGGGGCAUGAUGUGUAAGAAGCUAUCUUCAAACUGGACUUACUAGGGCAGUUGCUGCUUUUGUGUACCUUCUGUUAGUACUUCAGUAUCUACUUGGCACCAGCCAUGUUCUAUCUUGCUUAGGCUGAAGGAUCUAUGUGGCUAACUGGAAAAAUAGUAUGGCAGUUCGCAUGAUUGAAAACUUGGUAGGGUAAGUGUCCUACCCAGCUUCACGAGCUGGGCAUGCUCCCAGUUUUUGAUUCUCUGUGAGCAAACUAGCUGUGUGUCGGGGGAAGUAAUCAUGUGUGAGAGAGGAGCUGGGUAGGACAAUGCCUUCCUACCCAGCUCUCACACCCAGCAUUUUAACAAGAUAGGAGGAGAAGCCAUCUUACUUAGCUCCUCUCUCACACGUGAUCACACGCCCCGCCUCCUACCUAGUUGUUUGCUCACACACAAUCAGAAAUUAGGAGUGUACACAGCUCCCAAAGUUGAGUAAGAUGCUUGUCCUACCCAGUUUUCUAUCUUGUGAACUGCCUUACAGUAUACUAGCAUACCUGAACAUCCUUUUUGGAUUUAGUGAAGCCAGCCAGAAGCUGUAGGAGUUUGAGAAGAAAUUGCAUGUCCCUCGGCCAUGACAUUCGAUAAAUGGAACAGGGUGAAAAUUUUCUAAACAUGACCCUGGAGAUGCCAGUGCUUGUCCGGAAGCUUCUGAGCCUGCUCCUGUAUACUGUAACACAUAAUAGAGAUUCCCAGUGACAGACGGACAGUAAGAAGCCUCCAGUUAAAUCAAGUAUAAAUACCAGAUCAUUGACCAUUUAUCCUUGCCUGGUCACUUGAGCCUUUCCGCUUUUUUCAGUGGCCUAGACUGCCAAAUCGCUCUCUAGCUUUCAUGGAGGAAUUUCAUCUCCUCCUGGAUUUCUGGCCUACUCUGAUUCUCUCCAUGUUCCAGUUCCUUUGCCUCAGACUUUGGAUUUUUUUCUGUGCUACAAGUGCUUCAAUUUUUGAUUCUGCUUCUCCUCUAGUCAACAUUGCUCACCCUGUAUUAUUUUACUCAGCUCGACCCAUCUUUUGCCCCCAAGAUUGUUUGCAGUGGCCCUGAGUUAAACUCAGUUCCCUCAGGCAUGGUUCCACACAAGAGCUCCCGCAGUUAUGGCCUGAACUUGACUGAGAUCACUUUAAAAAAAUGAAGCUCACUUUACCCUUACUCUGACUUGAAAAGAAGCAUGAGUGGAAUGCAGUCACUUGAGGGGUUAACUGUUGCUGCAAGAUAAUUUGCAGUCAAAGCAACCUAAUGGCACAGUGGGGAAAUGACUUGAUUAGCAAGCCAAAGGUUGCCAGUUCGAAUCCCUGCUAGUAUGUUUCCCGGAAACACCUAUAUUGGGCAGCAGCGAUAUAGGGAGAUGCUGAAAGGCAUCAUCUCAUACUGCACAGGAGAAGGCAAUGGUAAACCCCUCCUGUAUUCUACCCAAGGCAACCUCAGGACUCUGUGGUCGCCAGGAGUUGACCUGUGGUCGCCAGGGGUCAUCCCAUGAAACUGAUUGCCAGGAAAUCUAGGACCGGCAAACGGAAGUACUUUUUCACACAACGCAUAAUCAACUUGUGGAAUUCUCUGCCACAAGAUGUGGUAACAGCCAACAACCUGGAUGGCUUUAAGAGGGGUUUAGAUAACUUCAUGGAAGAGAGGUCUAUUGACGGCUACUAGUCGGAGGGAUCUAGGCCACCUCCAGCCUUGGGGGCGGGGUGCCUCUGAGUACCAGUUGCAGGGGAGUACCAGCAGGAGAGAGGGCAUGCCCUCAACUCCUGCCUGUAUUUUCCAGCGGCAUCUGGUGGGCCACUGUGCGAAACGGGAUGCUGGACUAGAUGGGCCUUGGGCCUGAUCCAGCAGGGCUGUUCUUAUGUUCUUAUGACUUGACAGCACACUUUACCUUUCCAGAAUAUAUGGAACUUCUGCUUAGGCUGAUUCUUCAAAUGAAGCCCUAUUAAAACCUUAAUAUGUCAUACGAUGACCCAGAUAUCCAUAUAACUCUUCAAUUUCUGGUCUCUUCUGGGAACCUUCCCCCCACCCCUGCCCGCUGGCCACCAUACUUAUUCUUCAAAAGUGCUGUAAUCAGGCAUAUCUAGGGAAAAUAGCCCCUAGGGCAAGCACUGAAAUUGCAUCCCCUGUCCAAACAUAUGACAUCCAUCUUUCAGAUAACUUUACCAUAAUAUCAGCUGAAAAAUACAAGCCAAGCUCGUUAAUCUUUUAAUACUUCAAAAACUAUUUAGCAGUGGAUAUAGCCAGACCAAAAAAUGCUGGAAAACUACAAAUUUCAGUGUGCUAGGGCUCAUGAAAUACCCAAAUACUAUGUGGAGGAGUACUUGGAAAACUAAACAGAAGUGCCUGUCUAAUUCUCUACUAUCCAUUGUAGCAUCACUAUUACAUAAGUUUUAAAAAUCAAUGGAGAAUUUGACUUUUCCCAGAUACUCUGAAAAUAAUUAAAGGAUAUGCAGAGUAAACUGUGUCACUGCUUGGAAUAUAUUCUAGUAUUCCAGAAAGACAGUUAAAAUGAGAGAAAGAGAGCAAGAAACUCCCAGUGGCCUUAAUACUAAGGAUUUCACACUGAUUCAAAGACAAACUCACCAUUAAUAGCCAUAUUAUUAAGACAUCACAUUUAACUCACUUAUCACAAGAAGCAAAGUAAGAGCAAAUGAAUACAAUCCUAGCUCAUAAGCUUCAGCUCAGUAUUCACAAGCCCUGAUUCUCUGUACAUAGUGCCAAACUAAAUAUGUGUACAGUAACUUAUAUUAUAUUAAAUUUUAGGAAAAAAGUUUUUACUUGUAGCCCCUUCGGGGGGUGUCCUAAAAGCUGGGGGAGGGGGUCUGCAAAGGUCCCCCCUCCUCCCGCUGGCCUCUAGGGCCUUGCAGGGACCAUUUGAGCAUGUGCGGUAGCCAUUUUAAAAUAUAUAUAUUUUACAAUGGCUGCUGAAAACAAAAUGGCCACCGUGCAUGCUCAAAUGGCCUCUGCCUGGCAUGCCCUAGGGCCUCACAGAGGCGAUUUGAGCAUGCGUAGUGGCCAUUUUGUUUUCGGUGGCCAUUUAAAAAAAAUUUAAUUUUAAAAAAUGAUGCCCCCCUUCAAGUGGUGCCCGGGGCACAUGCCCUGCCUGCCCCACCCUAGAUACACCCCUGGCUGUAAUAGUUUUUUAGUUUUCCUUCUUACCAUAACAAAAGAAAAUCCUUUCCAAAGAGACUGCCAGCCCUGAGGACAGGAUGGAACUGAAGUGGUUUGACUGUGGACUGCUAUUACCAUUGCAGGGCUUUCGCAGACAAUGCAUCUAAAAUGUAAGAUAUACAAAUUAUUACUUGAAUAAAAACAGACAAUUGUCUUUCAGAUAGGAGUAAAUAUCAGCCUACAACCUAAAUUCCAGCACUUUUGAGGAGGUGCUGACUUGCACACUGCUUUCAGACUCCCUCUCCUCCACCUGCCCCUGAUGCUGCAGCAACACUUUUGCCCCCUUCAUAUCUCUCUGACAAAAUAUCAAGAGAGGGGACAUUUUGCAGUGGGGGUGAAUGGAUGGGGCGCGGCGGAAUUCACAGUGUUGUAACCCACAGAAUAUUUAAAAAUCAGCUACAUGUAGUCAGCUACAUGUGUGCAAAUUCAAGGAAAACAAAGUAUGUUUUCUGGCUACAUUCAUUUUUAAAUGUACAGCACUACCCUCAGCAGCUAUAAUUUGCUUCAUAUUAUUUAUAUGUUGAUGUUUGUAGAAUGUUAUUACUUAAUUUAGAAUUCACUCUCUCUUUACCGUUUCACAAAACUGUACUGGAUACAGUUUAGAAAUCUGUAUCUGGCACUUUCAGUUUGUAAAGACAAAUAAUAAUCUGCACUAACCCUGUUCAGACAUUAAAACUGAGGACACUGUACGAGGACACUGUGUUUGUUUCUGCAGACAAGCUGUUCCCAGGGUGGGGUUUUUGCAUGUUUUGGGGAUGGGCUUUUAAGUGCAUUAUCACAGAUGCUGUACAGGGUCCCCACCCAGUUUGCAUAAUGCCUGAAGAGGAUGUCUCUGUUUAUCCAAAACAAACUGCUUUCUGUAUGCGAACACAAUCAGACUGAGAAACCCAAGAUAUUAAAAUACUACCUGCUAAUAUAGGGUUCCAAAGCUCUCCCGGAAAUGGGUGCCAUGUCUGCUGGCAUUGGUUCUGCAGUUGACAGCCAGUAUGAAUAGUCAUUGCGAGAAGCAAAACUACAGACAUUACUGGGAUUACAUAAUAAAAAGGGCAUGGUGCUAAAUCUCUGGAGACAGCUACCACCUGCACCUGGAAAAUUCAGAAGACCAACAGUGACCACCACUAUUUUAGUAUCACAAUCCAUACAGACAUGUUGCCCCCCCCCCCCGCAAAUAAUUUUUUAAAAAAAUCUGUAAUAGGGUGAUGCAUUAUAGGGAAGAACCUCCUCAUUUAUUAAGUUUCUGUGACUGAAUGAGAUAUGAAGAUUAUAAUUUUUUUUAAAAAUAGGUAGAACAUAACUCAAUUUUCUGUAUUUUAUUUUUAUUUAUUUAUCAAGGUAUUUCUAUUAUGUCUGUGCUUUGGCGGUGUACAUAAGAGAAGUUAAUGUUACAAGAACUUUCUUCAUGAUGUUGUGCUUUGGCGGUGUACAUAAGAGAAGUUAAUGUUACAAGAACUUUCUUCAUGAUGUUUUAAAACCAACUAGCACAGGGGAAGUUAACAUGGUACAUGAAGAAGUGAGAAUGUAAAUUGAACUUUAAGUGACUACAAAAAGGAAAUAAUGCCUCUGUUAGUUAUGAUUCUGGUUCUAAGUUUCCCAACAUAUGAAAUAACUAUCAAAAGCUCCUUGUGCAGGGCUUGUUCUGUAAGCAGCUGUCCAGUGUGAGUAGCAUUAGAGAAGAUUUCUUACUUAAUUGUUUACUUUCAUCCCAUCAAUUAGAUGUUUGCUUUGGCAUAAUAAAGCUGAUACGCUGAGUAAAAAUGUUAUUUAUAAGCAAUAAUUCAAAGCAUAUAAGUAUAUAUACAUAUACAAUUACCAAGAUCUUGUCCAU